This 237-nucleotide long non-coding RNA is filed under the name Linum usitatissimum (flax). Its description in RNAcentral is "long non-coding RNA (LUSI_LNC006317)". Lineage: Eukaryota; Viridiplantae; Streptophyta; Magnoliopsida; Malpighiales; Linaceae. The record is from RNAcentral.
GACAAUCGUGACUUCUACGUGGGGCGUCCUUUUGGUGGAUUGACUUUUGAACAAUUAUAAAAUAUAACAAAAUUCAAUAUCAUUUUAAUAUUCAAUACCUACUUUCAACAUUACAAUUUAUUUAAAAUCCAAAACAAAAAAAUAAUAAAUAUAUUACAAUUGACCCCAAAGACAAAAAAAUAAAAAACAACCUUAAAUCACUAACUACUAAAUUUUAAUCAUAAAACACUACAUCAU